Molecule: long non-coding RNA, 1109 nt
Filed under: Numida meleagris (helmeted guineafowl)
Lineage: Eukaryota; Metazoa; Chordata; Aves; Galliformes; Numididae
Description: lncRNA (ENSNMEG00000021095.1)
Source: RNAcentral
AAAGGUGUAAACAGAUAGAUGGCUUCACCACAUAAAUCACGUUCACAUGAAGAUAGAUGUGCUUUCUGCAGAAGUGAAAUUUGUGCUGCCUUUUGCUUACUCCUAAUAAUAGGAACGUGUAUGCAAAUUUCCUAUCUCCCAGCAGCUACAAUAAAUUACUCUGGAGCACCUGAACCCCUUCCAGCUUGAUAUAGAAGUUCAAAGGAAAGGUAAAUAUAUCUCUUUUCUUUUUUUCCCAAAAAGGUAAGGCAGGUGCACUCGAUAGCUUGAGUAAAGGUUUUAACCCCAUGUUAACAGAUUUGAUGGUGCUGCGAUCUUGAUUCCAUACCACCUCCUCACACAUGGAUUGCUAUUCAAUAAGCAGGCAAAAAUGUAAAUGACACAGGCACAAAUAAGCCCCCAAAGAUGUUAUUGCUCUUUAUGUAAGAAACAACCCCAGCAGUGGCCCUGAGUAAAUCUUCAGCUGAUAUUUGUUGCCUCUGAUUGUCACGGUCAGUCCCAGUCAGCUUCUUUCCCUACAUACUUCUUGGGCCUAAAGCUGUUCUUGUUGCUGCUGGGGUCAGGUGGCUGAGGUGUUCCUCUGCAGAGCUAGCUCUUGUCACCUGGGUGAAUGUGGACCCUGUGCAGCUGUUUGGGUGUCUUCUGGGAGAAGCAAUGUUGCAUGCUGGUGACUUGCUUCACGUGAAGUAGCCAGGCCUGCUGUCACCUCUCCCCAUGGUUGCUGGAUGGUGCAGCAUUACCUUCAGCCAUGUGUCGUGGCAGAAGAGGAGAUGCGUGCCUUCAUCUGUGUGGAUUAACAGUUGUGCCCUACAUGCAGGACUAGAGAAGGACACGCUUGCCUGGCUAUUGCUAGUACACUCCGCUUCCAAACAGCACGUACGAAGAUUGGGAGGAUGUUUCCUAUCAAUAAGUAUUUUAAACCAAAGGCCUCUGAAAUCUAUUCCAUUCUCCAAAGCAUGGGAAAUGGAGCUGAGUGAAGGCAUCAGGUUGUAGCUGUCUGUCAGAGGCACAUAUGAAGUACUUACCCUCCCUUCAACCAAGUUUCUGGAACCUGGACUUCUUCCAUGAAAUCCACACCUGUAUUUGACAGUUACUGGGAUUUUGCUAAG